Molecule: ribosomal RNA, 243 nt
Filed under: Staphylococcus epidermidis
Lineage: Bacteria; Bacillati; Bacillota; Bacilli; Caryophanales; Staphylococcaceae
Description: partial 23S ribosomal RNA
Rfam family: Bacterial large subunit ribosomal RNA
Source: RNAcentral
UGUUAUCGACAUGUGAAUUCAUAGCAUGUCAGAAGGCAGACCCGGAGAACUGAAACAUCUUAGUACCCGGAGGAAGAGAAAGAAAAAUCGAUUCCCUGAGUAGCGGCGAGCGAAACGGGAAGAGCCCAAACCAACAAGCUUGCUUGUUGGGGUUGUAGGACACUCUAUACGGAGUUACAAAAGAACAUGUUAGACGAAUCAUCUGGAAAGAUGAAUCAAAGAAGGUAAUAAUCCUGUAGUCGA